GGUCAAGCUACAAAGGGCUCACGGCGGAUACCUUGGCACACAGAGGCGAUGAAGGACGUGGUUACCUGCGAUAAGUCUCGGGGAGCUGGAAGCACGCUUUGAUCCGGGAAUUUCCGAAUGGGGCAACCCUUUUAUACGGCCAGCUGAAUACAUAGGCUGGCGCGAGCCAACCCAGCGAACUGAAACAUCUUAGUAGCUGGAGGAAAGGAAAGUAAAAACGACUCCCUAAGUAGCGGCGAGCGAACGGGGAAGAGCCUAAACCGAUGGUUUCGACCAUCGGGGUUGUGGGACAGCAACGUGUAUCAGGAAUGUUAGGAGAAGUGUUUGAAUGGCACGCCACAGAGGGUGAAAGCCCCGUAUCUGAAAACUGAACUGAGCUAGCUGUAUCCCGAGUAGCACGGAGCACGUGAAAUUCCGUGUGAAUCCGCGAGGACCACCUCGUAAGGCUAAGUACUACUGUGUGACCGAUAGCGAAACAGUACCGCGAGGGAAAGGUGAAAAGAACCCCGGGAGGGGAGUGAAAUAGAACAUGAAACCGUGAGCCUACAAGCAAUGGGAGCCCUACUCAUAGGGUGACCGUGUGCCUGUUGAAGAAUGAGCCGGCGACUUAUAGGCACUGGCGGGUUAAACCGGAAAUGGUGGAGCCAUAGCGAAAGCGAGUCUGAAUAGGGCGUUUGUCAGUGUUUAUAGACCCGAACCCGGGUGAUCUAACCAUGGCCAGGAUGAAGCUUGGGUGAUACCAAGUGGAGGUCCGAACCGACUGGCGUUGAAAAGCCAGCGGAUGAGCUGUGGUUAGGGGUGAAAUGCCAAUCGAACCCGGAGCUAGCUGGUUCUCCCCGAAAUACGUUGAGGCGUAGCGUCUCGUGCUCCAGCAGGGGGGUAAAGCCACCAUUUCGGUGCGGGCUGCGAGAGCGGUACCAAAUCGAGAUGAACUCUGAAUACCCUGUGUGUAGCGAGGCAGUCAGACUGUGGGGGAUAAGCUCCAUGGUCGAGAGGGAAACAGCCCAGACCGCCAGCUAAGGUCCCCAAAUCAACACUAAGUGAUAAAGGAGGUGGGAUUGCAUAGACAACCAGGAGGUUUGCCUAGAAGCAGCCAUCCUCAAAGGAGUGCGUAAUAGCUCACUGGUCGAGCGAUCCUGCACCGAAAAUGAAUGGGGCUAAGUGUUGUACCGAAGCUGCGGAUUUUAUGGUAGGGGAGCGUUCUAUGUGGGGCGAAGCAUUAGCGUGAGCGGAUGUGGACUGCAUAGAAGUGAGAAUGUCGGCUUGAGUAGCGAAAACAUGGGUGAGAAUCCCAUGCACCGAAACCCUAAGGGUUCCUCCGGCAGGCUCGUCCGCGGAGGGUUAGUCUGGACCUAAGGCGAGGCCGAAAGGCGUAGUCGAUGGAUAACAGGUCAACAUUCCUGUACCGGUCAUGUUUUGGGAAGAGGGACGGAGAAGGCUAGCCAAGCCAGAUGUUGGUUACUGGUUCAAGCGUUCGAGGCGUUGAGGAGCGGUGAAAACGUUCCGAGCUGAGGCGUGAGUACGAGCUGCUACGGCAGCGAAGUUGGUGACGUCAUGCUUCCAAGAAAAGCUCUAUACCCGUUAAGACAUGAUUGCCAGUACCCGAAACCGACACAGGUGGGGUGGUAGAGAAUACCGAGGUGCGCGAGGUAACUCUCUCUAAGGAACUCGGCAAAAUGGCCCCGUAACUUCGGGAGAAGGGGUGCCACAGCAAUGUGGUCGCAGUGAAGAGGCCCUGGCGACUGUUUACCAAAAACACAGGUCUCCGCUAAGUCGCAAGACGAUGUAUGGGGGCUGACGCCUGCCCAGUGCCGGAAGGUUAAGGAAGCCGGUCAGCGUAAGCGAAGCUGGCGACUGAAGCCCCGGUGAACGGCGGCCGUAACUAUAACGGUCCUAAGGUAGCGAAAUUCCUUGUCGGGUAAGUUCCGACCCGCACGAAAGGCGUAACGAUCAGGGCGCUGUCUCGGAGAGAGGCUCGGCGAAAUAGAAUUGUCUGUGAAGAUGCGGACUACGUACACCUGGACAGAAAGACCCUAUGAAGCUUUACUGUAGCUUGGUAUUGUGUCCGGGCUCUGAAUGCGCAGGAUAGGUGGGAGAUGUUGAUCUCGUGCUCGUGGGUACGAGGGAGUCAAUGGUGAGAUACCACUCUUUCAGAGCUAGGAUUCUAACGUUCACCCGUUAUCCGGGGAGCGGACAGUAUCAGGUGGGCAGUUUGACUGGGGCGGUCGCCUCCUAAAAGGUAACGGAGGCGCGCAAAGGUUUCCUCAGGCUGGUUGGAAAUCAGCUGACGAGUGCAAAAGCAGAAGGAAGCUUGACUGUGAGACCUACAAGUCGAACAGGGACGAAAGUCGGCUUUAGUGAUCCGACGGUUCUGAGUGGAAGGGCCGUCGCUCAACGGAUAAAAGUUACUCUAGGGAUAACAGGCUGAUCUCCCCCAAGAGUUCACAUCGACGGGGAGGUUUGGCACCUCGAUGUCGGCUCAUCGCAACCUGGGGCUGAAGUCGGUCCCAAGGGUUGGGCUGUUCGCCCAUUAAAGCGGUACGCGAGCUGGGUUCAGAACGUCGUGAGACAGUUCGGUCCAUAUCCGGUGUACGCGUAGGAACAUUGAGAGGAUUUCUCCCUAGUACGAGAGGACCGGGAGGAACGCACCUCUGGUGUACCAGUUAUCGUGCCAACGGUAAACGCUGGGUAGCCAUGUGCGGAGUGGAUAACCGCUGAAAGCAUCUAAGUGGGAAGCCCACCUCAAGAUGAGUGUUCCCAUGGGGUAACCCAGUAAGGUCACGGGAAGAACACCCGUUGAUAGGCUCUACGUGGAAGUCCAGUAAUGGAUGCAGCGGAGGAGUACUAAUAGACCGAGGGCUUGACCAA
This 2868-nucleotide ribosomal RNA is filed under the name bacterium. RNAcentral's name for it is "23S ribosomal RNA". It matches the Rfam family "Bacterial large subunit ribosomal RNA". The record is from RNAcentral. RNAcentral also lists the same sequence under 1 other name.